RNAcentral lists this ribosomal RNA (300 nucleotides) under uncultured Methanomassiliicoccus sp. RNAcentral's name for it is "bacterial SSU rRNA". The stretch from base 52 to 300 matches the Rfam family "Bacterial small subunit ribosomal RNA", at positions 547 to 795 of the family's 1533-position model. Lineage: Archaea; Methanobacteriati; Thermoplasmatota; Thermoplasmata; Methanomassiliicoccales; Methanomassiliicoccaceae. The record is from RNAcentral.
GCCAAGUGGGGGGCUGGAGGCGCGGUAAUUGUGAGGGUGGGAGCGGUGUGCGGAAUUAGUGGGCGUAAAGGGUUCGUAGGCGGUUUGUCGCGGCGGGAGUGAAAUCCACUGGCUUAACGGGUGGCUUGCUUUCGAUACGGGCAGACUGGAGGUAUGCAGGGGAGAACGGAAUUCCUGGUGUAGCGGUGAAAUGCGCAGAUAUCAGGAGGAACACCGGUGGCGAAGGCGGUUCUCUGGGCAUGUCCUGACGCUGAGGAGCGAAAGUGUGGGGAGCGAACAGGAUUAGAUACCCUAGUAGUC